UGAACACUGUGGUGGCAUCACGUGGCAUCAAUUACAGUAGCCUAUCAAUAAUUUGACCAAUGGCACUUUGGGAACAACAAUAGCCUGGCUACACCAGUCCACGCCCAAUGAUCAAAGGCGUAAACGGCUCUGUUGGGUUAAAGCCAAGUCGUUCAUGUCCAUUAAGCCACUUGGUUAGUAAUCUUCGUGUCACCAAAGCACGGAUGCCAUCGAACACUGUGAGAUCACUGAGGCCGCGUAAUGCGCCGCGAAUGGUAGCGACCUUGCCACCAAGACAUGGGCCGCCUGCACUCACCCAACCGACGGUUUCGCCUUUGACCUCCGGGCCUGCCGGCCAUCCCGCGGCAACCGCUCCACGCUCGUCAGCAACCCGUCGCUCCGCUCGUAUCGCAGGACAAGCACCAAGAACUACAAGGCAGCCCAGGCCUACUGUUAUUGCUCCUCUGGAACCUAAUUCACCAUCACAGGCCGCCCAGACACGACACCCUAAAAGUAGGGUUGGAGGUGCCAACAGAAGUAGACCACCACCACUGCGUUUAUAUGAAACGGUGGGACCAUCUUCAAGAAAAGGUACCUUGUUUAAAGACCACGAGGGACCUCGCGCAAAUGCUCCUGGGAAAGCAACACAGAGAACCCUGUUUGGUAUUUUGAAGAGUCGUGUGUAAAGCCUUUGCCAAACAAUGGAAACGAAUGAACUACGUCGAUCAAAUAAACAUUUCCAAUUCAUCA
This is a long non-coding RNA of Alosa sapidissima (American shad), 729 nucleotides long. RefSeq lists it as uncharacterized. The transcript has 2 exons. NCBI's taxonomy places the organism in Eukaryota, Metazoa, Chordata, Actinopteri, Clupeiformes, Clupeidae. The record is from RefSeq and is a predicted model, not a curated record.